Molecule: ribosomal RNA, 301 nt
Filed under: uncultured bacterium
Lineage: Bacteria
Description: partial 16S ribosomal RNA
Rfam family: Bacterial small subunit ribosomal RNA
Source: RNAcentral
CAGCCGCCGCGGGAAUACGAAGGGGGCUAGCGUUGUUCGGAUUUACUGGGCGUAAAGCGCACGUAGGCGGAUCGAUCAGUCAGGGGUGAAAUCCCAGAGCUCAACUCUGGAACUGCCUUUGAUACUGUCGAUCUGGAGUAUGGAAGAGGUGAGUGGAAUUCCGAGUGUAGAGGUGAAAUUCGUAGAUAUUCGGAGGAACACCAGUGGCGAAGGCGGCUCACUGGUCCAUUACUGACGCUGAGGUGCGAAAGCGUGGGGAGCAAACAGGAUUAGAUACCCAGUAGUCCCUGUCUCUUAUACC